Molecule: long non-coding RNA, 272 nt
Filed under: Hordeum vulgare
Lineage: Eukaryota; Viridiplantae; Streptophyta; Magnoliopsida; Poales; Poaceae
Description: long non-coding RNA (HVUL_LNC003455)
Source: RNAcentral
CCUUUCUUUUGUUUUUUGCUUUCUGGGCUACACAGGUGGGCCUUUUUUGUUGUUGCGUAGGCUGCAUUUUUUAAGCACAUAACAGGCAUGUUUCUUUGUUUGUUUGAUUUUUCUCUCGUGUUCAAUUGGUUUGGACCUCCUAUUCGACGUCUUCAGCGCCGGUUAGGGAAACCGGCACCUGCAGCGCUCUACCUCAUGGGCCGGUUCAUGUAAAAAUGUGUUGGUCAUUAAAAAAUUAAAAAAAUCACAUAAUUUCAGAAAGUUCAUAUUUG